GUAGUCGCGCUUAAAUAAGCGAGGAAAGUCCGAGCUGCAUUAGGGCAGGGCUACAUCUAAUGGAUGUCAGGAGCGAUCCUAGGGAUAGUGCAACAGAAAGCAAACCGCCAGCGCAUCGCGCUUGGCAAGGGUGAAACGGCGAGGUAAGAGCUCACCAGCACGCAAGCCAGAACAAGCGGCGUGGCUAUGCAAACCCAGCUCGCAGCAAGAAGCGGUGGUAAAGCCCUAAAAUAUACGCUUUGCUAGACUUUAAUGGCGACAUUAAAGCAAGAUAAAUGACUACAUAAACAAAACUCGGCUUAUAGCCA
This 308-nucleotide RNase P RNA is filed under the name uncultured Campylobacter sp. Its description in RNAcentral is "Bacterial RNase P class A". It matches the Rfam family "Bacterial RNase P class A". From Rfam's summary of the family: Ribonuclease P (RNase P) is a ubiquitous endoribonuclease, found in archaea, bacteria and eukarya as well as chloroplasts and mitochondria. Its best characterised activity is the generation of mature 5'-ends of tRNAs by cleaving the 5'-leader elements of precursor-tRNAs. Cellular RNase Ps are ribonucleoproteins. Lineage: Bacteria; Pseudomonadati; Campylobacterota; Epsilonproteobacteria; Campylobacterales; Campylobacteraceae. The record is from RNAcentral.